Molecule: ribosomal RNA, 420 nt
Filed under: Fusobacteriota bacterium
Lineage: Bacteria; Fusobacteriati; Fusobacteriota
Description: Fusobacteria bacterium partial 16S ribosomal RNA
Rfam family: Bacterial small subunit ribosomal RNA
Source: RNAcentral
UGGGGGAUAUUGCACAAUGGGCGAAAGCCUGUUGCAGCGACGCCGCGUGGGGGAUGAAGGCCUUCGGGUUGUAAACUUCUUUUGCUCUGAACAAGGCAUGCCUUUGGGGUGUGUUGAGUGUAGGGGUUGAUUAGCGCCGGCUAACUACGUGCCAGCAGCCGCGGUAAUACGUAGGGCGCGAGCGUUGUCCGGAAUUAUUGGGCGUAUAGGGCUUGUAGGUGGCUGGUUGCGUCUGUCGUGAAAGCUCAUGGCUUAACUGUGGGUUUGCGGUGGGUACGGGCUGGCUUGAGUGCAGUAGGGGAGGCUGGAAUUCCUGGUGUAGCGGUGGAAUGCGCAGAUAUCAGGAGGAAUACCGGUGGCGAAGGCGGGUCUCUGGGCUGUUACUGACGCUGAGGAGCGAAAGCGUGGGGAGCGAACAGG